UUGUCCAUGGUUACUAUAGCCUGAAGGACCAUCCACGGCAAGUCGAAUCUCGAAUGGCAUGUAUUUAUAUGGAUUUGAGGCGAACCAACUGAUUCUACCUUGUUGUCAUAUCAUUAGAGUGUAUGUUUUGGAAGGGUUGAGCAGCGAUAGAGGUUUCUUUAGUCCUAGUGAGGUGGUGGUGGUGUCCCUGAUGAGGUUUGUCGCCUGCAUCUUCUUUUCCGUAAGCCAUCUUGCCAAAUUGGGUUUCAGAGUUCCGCCAUGAAAGGUUUCGUUCUUUUCUAUGGUCACCGCAUAUCAUGCGGAAGUUCAUGAAGCGGCUGCGUGAUAUGAGGUUGUGGCCCUCUUGAUCUUGUUUCAGUUUUCUCUUUCCAUAUAGGUAUCUCAUGUGAGGUUGGGGCUUGUUGUCUUCGGUGUCUAACUUAAACUGCACAAGCUUCCAAUGAAACCUUUUGGACAAUGCACACUGUAUUCCGUGA
This is a long non-coding RNA of Lolium rigidum, 476 nucleotides long. RefSeq lists it as uncharacterized. The record is from RefSeq and is a predicted model, not a curated record. Lineage: Eukaryota; Viridiplantae; Streptophyta; Magnoliopsida; Poales; Poaceae. The transcript has 4 exons.